GAUAAGCAACGAAUCGGUUGUUCGUGUUUUGAUUUGUGAUUUGGAAAAAACAAAGAGAUUGACGUCAAUGAGUGCGUUUCCGUACCUACAACUUUGGCAGUUUCUGCGAGUUCAUUUGAAGAAAUAUCUGAUAUUUUCCAAACUGAGGAUGAUAGGAACUAUACACUCAAAAUAAAUCACAAGAACGAUACAAUGAUGGAUGUAGAGCUGUGCGCCGAUCAAAAAUGUCAACAUCGGCGGCUGAAACGUCUUUUUGACCAGCGGCGGCGGUGAAUCGGCGUGACGCUGUUUCCUGAAAACAUCGGCGGCGGAGGCGGCGCGAUUCGGCGUAAUCAAUUAUAAACAUAUAAAAAAAUUUUAAUAUUGAUUCACACAGGACAAUUUCUCUAUCUUAUUGUUUUGUCGACCUACAAUCAAAGAUCCUAAUGUUUAUGUGAUCCAUUAAAGCCAACGUAGUGAAUAGAGAUGGUAAAUGGUUUCGAAUGCAUCGAAUUAGAAGAGAAAUUGAGAUGAGUAUAAGUGCGAUUAUUUGGAGAUGGUUGACUAUUGUUUAAAUAAAUAUUUCAUUCAUAUACAAAGGGUUUUUUUUAU
Malaya genurostris is the source of this 591-nucleotide long non-coding RNA. RefSeq lists it as uncharacterized. The transcript has 3 exons. NCBI's taxonomy places the organism in Eukaryota, Metazoa, Arthropoda, Insecta, Diptera, Culicidae. The record is from RefSeq and is a predicted model, not a curated record.